Molecule: ribosomal RNA, 124 nt
Filed under: Vibrio cholerae O395
Lineage: Bacteria; Pseudomonadati; Pseudomonadota; Gammaproteobacteria; Vibrionales; Vibrionaceae
Source: RNAcentral
UUGUUUGGCGACCAUAGCACUUUGGACCCACCUGAUUCCAUCCCGAACUCAGAAGUGAAACGAAGUAGCGCCGAUGGUAGUGUGGGGUUUCCCCAUGUGAGAGUAGGACAUCGCCAGGCUUGAU